This 426-nucleotide ribosomal RNA is filed under the name Mariannaea elegans. RNAcentral's name for it is "eukaryotic LSU rRNA". The stretch from base 96 to 249 matches the Rfam family "5.8S ribosomal RNA". Lineage: Eukaryota; Fungi; Ascomycota; Sordariomycetes; Hypocreales; Nectriaceae. The record is from RNAcentral.
CUCGCUCUCGCGGCGAGGCCCGCCAGAGGACCCAAACAAACUCUUUGACUUUGAUCUAGGAUUAUACUUCUGAGUGAUACAAAAAAUAAAAUCAAAACUUUCAACAACGGAUCUCUUGGUUCUGGCAUCGAUGAAGAACGCAGCGAAAUGCGAUAAGUAAUGUGAAUUGCAGAAUUCAGUGAACCAUCGAAUCUUUGAACGCACAUUGCGCCCGCCAGUAUUCUGGCGGGCAUGCCUGUUCGAGCGUCAUUUCAACCCUCAAGCUCCGGCUUGGUGUUGGGGAUCGGCAGCCCGGCUUCGCGCCGACGCCGUCCCCCAAAUGCAGUGGCGGUCACGCUGCAGCCUCCUAUGCGUAGUAGCACACCUCGCACUGGAGAGCAGCGCGGCCACGCCGUAAAACCCCCUACUUUUUGUGGUUGACCUCGA